GCGCAAGUGGUCUAGUGGUGAAAUCCAACGAUUUUUUUAAUCGUUUGGCCCACGGUUCGAUUCCGGGCUUGCGCA
RNAcentral lists this transfer RNA (75 nucleotides) under Metschnikowia bicuspidata. It matches the Rfam family "tRNA". From Rfam's summary of the family: Transfer RNA (tRNA) molecules are approximately 80 nucleotides in length. Their secondary structure includes four short double-helical elements and three loops (D, anti-codon, and T loops). Further hydrogen bonds mediate the characteristic L-shaped molecular structure. tRNAs have two regions of fundamental functional importance: the anti-codon, which is responsible for specific mRNA codon recognition, and the 3' end, to which the tRNAs corresponding amino acid is attached (by aminoacyl-tRNA synthetases). tRNAs cope with the degeneracy of the genetic code in two manners: having more than one tRNA (with a specific anti-codon) for a particular amino acid; and 'wobble' base-pairing, i.e. permitting non-standard base-pairing at the 3rd anti-codon position. The record is from Rfam by way of RNAcentral. Lineage: Eukaryota; Fungi; Ascomycota; Pichiomycetes; Serinales; Metschnikowiaceae.